AGCGUAGACGGUUAUGUAAGUCAGAUGUGAAAGCCCAGGGCUCAACCCUGGGACUGCAUUUGAAACUAUGUAACUAGAGUGCAGGAGAGGUAAGUGGAAUUCCUAGUGUAGCGGUGAAAUGCGUAGAUAUUAGGAGGAACACCAGUGGCGAAGGCGGCUUACUGGACUGUAACUGACGUUGAGGCUCGAAAGCGUGGGGAGCAAACA
RNAcentral lists this ribosomal RNA (207 nucleotides) under uncultured bacterium. RNAcentral describes it as "partial 16S ribosomal RNA". It matches the Rfam family "Bacterial small subunit ribosomal RNA", at positions 568 to 774 of the family's 1533-position model. The record is from RNAcentral.